UCAUUUCCCGCUUCACCCCCCUCCACGCGAAACCCACAACCCGGCCAAGCAUCCGGCCAUGGAUUUGGUCAUGGAUUCAACUGUUCAGACUAUUGUUGUAGUAGCAGUUGUUCCGCAUGGGGUUUUACAGCUUGGAUCUUUAGAUAAGAGUAACUGAGGAUGUCAAUCUUGUGGCUCGCAUCAGAAAUGUUUUUCUAACUCUCCAGGAGUCAUCAGCAGGGCAUAUUAAGCCAAUGCAGUCAUGUAAAAGCUCAGGAUACGUGGCAGACAUUCCAUCUAGAAGCUUAGCAACACAGAAAAGUGAAGAUGAAAAUGUCAGCAAGAAUGUGGGGAUAGAGUUGUCACGAUCUGAGGGCACUGAAUCUCUAAAAACAAAGCCAGAUGCUAUCAAUGUGGAGAGUUUUAAAUCACAAGUGAGAUUGCUUGAUGACAGGAUAUGUGGAGGGGAGUCUAGUGGGUGCAAAGAAGCAAAAUUCUGCCAUGGAUAUGGUUAAUAUAUGUGUGGGACGUUUAGCCGAACCAAUCCUACAGAAAUGUACUUUCAAAAUGAUAUGGAAGCAUCAGAAACUAUUGAUAUGUAUCCGUCAAACACAUCGUUGAAGUUCCCUGCUGGUUAUGAGCUGCAUGAAGUACUUGGUCCUGCUUUUCUGAAAGAUGCUCUUUAUCUUGACUGGCAAACAGAGUAUGUUUUUGGUGGUAAAGCUUUUGAGUUAUAUGAGAGAAUGAGUGGUAGCCAGUUGACAUCUGAUUCACCGACAGAGCGUCUUCUAGAAGCUGUAGUCGCUGAUGUUUGUCACAGUGGUUCUGAUAUUAAAAGUGACACAUCCCUGUGCAAGUCUGGACAGUCUCUGUCAACUUGUGUUUGAAUAGUAGUUUCCUAUUAAAUGAAAAGAAGAUGUUGAGAUCAUAAUUGAUUUGUUUGCUGGUGAUUCUAUCUUGUGUUUGAAUGUUGAGGAAAAAUGAAAUUAUUUUGUACAAAGAAGGAAGAGAAAGGUUGAGAGCGCUCAAUGCUUAGCAAUAAUGGCGAUUUUUUUAAGAUCAAAAGACUUAUAAUGCAGAUUUACGCAUGCAAGGUAAGGGAUGAGAAGUAGACAACAAGAUUUUAACAUGGUUUGGCAAGAGGUGCCUACGUCCACGAGAAGAGCUGAGAUUUCUUGAGAAGUAGAAAGGGAAAAAUAUUACAGAUAAAUUCGUCUAACUCAUUGAUUUUUCUCUUAAUUCGUCUAACUCAUUGAUUUCUCUCUUAAUUCGUCUAACUCAUUGAUUUCUCUCUUUUUUUUUAUCUCUCUCUUUUAAAUCUUUUAUAUAUAGGAUGUUUACAAUUUUGUUGAGAGAUAAAAGUAAGAUAAAAUGUCUGUUUCACUUUAAAUAGUUACUGUUUUAACACUUUUCAAUAUAUAUGAGGAAGAACGGUAUGUCAUAAUCAAGCAUGGAACACAAUCAUGAGAGAGUCAGUGUGCUGCAACACAUGGGAUGCAAAUAUCUCAGUUCAAGAAGGUACUUUGUUAUGCUCACAAUUGCUAUUCUUCUGAGGUUGGGAAAGAAGUGAGUUACUAAACCAACUCAAGAAGGAUUUGGAAGGAAGAUAGGAAGAUUGCAUUGGACAUAUUUUAAGAAGGUUGAUAAGUGGAGAAGAUGCACCAAACACAAAAAGGACUUCAUAACAACAUUAAUAACAAGUACAAGUUCAAUACAAAAGAUGCAUAUACGCAAGGAGAGAUCGACGUAAUUCGGACCCAAUGGGCAAGUUGUAUUGGCCGAUUUGUGUAAGGAUGUAAUUCUUGUUUUUUAUCUCAAUAGAAUGUAAAUGCUAGCUUAGAAUGAAUGUAAAUUUAUUUAACUAUGAUCUUUGUGAAUGGAAUUAGUACUAAUAUGAUAUUUGUGAAUGAGAGAAAUGAUGGCUUGAUGUAAGUAU
Benincasa hispida (wax gourd) is the source of this 1915-nucleotide non-coding RNA. The record is from RefSeq and is a predicted model, not a curated record. NCBI's taxonomy places the organism in Eukaryota, Viridiplantae, Streptophyta, Magnoliopsida, Cucurbitales, Cucurbitaceae.